GAUGAACGCUAGCUACAGGCUUAACACAUGCAAGUCGAGGGGUAACGAGAGGAAAGCUUGCUUUCCUUGUCGACGACCGGCGCACGGGUGAGUAACGCGUAUCCAACCUGCCCCCAACUAAGGAAUAACCUUGCGAAAGUAAGACUAAUACCUUAUAAUUUCCUCAGAUGUCAUCUGACGAGGAAUAAAGAUUUAUCGGUUGUGGAUGGGGAUGCGUCUGAUUAGCUUGUUGGCGGGGUAACGGCUCACCAAGGCAACGAUCAGUAGGGGUUCUGAGAGGAAGGUCCCCCACAUUGGAACUGAGAAACGGUCCACACACCUACGAGAGGCAGCAGUGAGGAAUAUUGGUCAAUGGGCGGAAGCCUGAACCAGCCAAGUAGCGUGCAGGAUGACGGCCCUAUGGGUUGUAAACUGCUUUUAUACAGGAAUAAAGUUAGCCACGUGUGGUUAUUUGUAGGUACUGUAUGAAUAAGGACCGGCUAAUUCCGUGCCAGCAGCCGCAGUAA
RNAcentral lists this ribosomal RNA (506 nucleotides) under uncultured bacterium. RNAcentral's name for it is "partial 16S ribosomal RNA". It matches the Rfam family "Bacterial small subunit ribosomal RNA", at positions 28 to 523 of the family's 1533-position model. The record is from RNAcentral.